Molecule: ribosomal RNA, 429 nt
Filed under: Fusobacteriota bacterium
Lineage: Bacteria; Fusobacteriati; Fusobacteriota
Description: Fusobacteria bacterium partial 16S ribosomal RNA
Rfam family: Bacterial small subunit ribosomal RNA
Source: RNAcentral
UGGGGAAUCUUCCGCAAUGGACGAAAGUCUGACGGAGCAACGCCGCGUGAGUGAAGACGGCCUUCGGGUUGUAAAGCUCUGUGAUCCGGGACGAAAGAGCCUGAGGUGAAUAGCCUAAGGAAGUGACGGUACCGGAAAAGCAAGCCACGGCUAACUACGUGCCAGCAGCCGCGGUAAUACGUAGGUGGCAAGCGUUGUCCGGAAUUAUUGGGCGUAAAGCGCGCGCAGGCGGCUUCCUAAGUCCAUCUUAAAAGUGCGGGGCUUAACCCCGUGAUGGGAUGGAAACUGGGAAGCUGGAGUAUCGGAGAGGAAAGUGGAAUUCCUAGUGUAGCGGUGAAAUGCGUAGAGAUUAGGAUGAACACCGGUGGCGAAGGCGACUUUCUGGACGAAAACUGACGCUGAGGCGCGAAAGCGUGGGGAGCAAACAGG